CCACCCCUGCGGUGUUCGUGAGGAGACCAACCUCCUGAGCCGAUAACUUAUGAACCUGGGAGCCGUGCCCUGACUGCCGCUGCCACCUCCAUGCGGGGUUCGCAAAAACAGUUAUUCAUGGAUCCACCUUAACAUACGGGUUCAGAGAGUGCGAUCCCACGGCACAGGCGGGGGCUAU
RNAcentral lists this non-coding RNA (178 nucleotides) under Magnetococcales bacterium. RNAcentral's name for it is "6S RNA". It matches the Rfam family "6S / SsrS RNA". Rfam says of the family: E. coli 6S RNA was the first non coding RNA to be sequenced, but its function was unknown until recently. It consists of 184 nucleotides that fold into an extended hairpin structure with a large single-stranded internal bulge. The record is from RNAcentral. Lineage: Bacteria; Pseudomonadati; Pseudomonadota; Magnetococcia; Magnetococcales.